RNAcentral lists this ribosomal RNA (427 nucleotides) under uncultured bacterium. RNAcentral's name for it is "partial 16S ribosomal RNA". It matches the Rfam family "Bacterial small subunit ribosomal RNA", at positions 355 to 774 of the family's 1533-position model. The record is from RNAcentral.
UGGGGAAUAUUGCACAAUGGGCGCAAGCCUGAUGCAGCCAUGCCGCGUGUAUGAAGAAGGCCUUCGGGUUGUAAAGUACUUUCAGCGAGGAGGAAGGCGUUGUGGUUAAUAACCGCAACGAUUGACGUUACUCGCAGAAGAAGCACCGGCUAACUCCGUGCCAGCAGCCGCGGUAAUACGGAGGGUGCAAGCGUUAAUCGGAAUUACUGGGCGUAAAGCGCAAGCAGGCGGUAUGUCAAGUCGGAUGUGAAAUCCCCGGGCUCAACCUGGGAACUGCAUCCGAAACUGGCAGGCUAGAGUCUUGUAGAGGGGGGUAGAAUUCCAGGUGUAGCGGUGAAAUGCGUAGAGAUCUGGAGGAAUACCGGUGGCGAAGGCGGCCCCCUGGACAAAGACUGACGCUCAGGUGCGAAAGCGUGGGGAGCAAACA